CCUACGGGAGGCAGCAGUGAGGAAUAUUGGUCAAUGGACGAGAGUCUGAACCAGCCAAGUAGCGUGAAGGAUGACUGCCCUAUGGGUUGUAAACUUCUUUUAUAUGGGAAUAAAACGUUCCACGUGUGUGAUUUUGUAUGUACCAUAUGAAUAAGGAUCGGCUAACUCCGUGCCAGCAGCCGCGGUAAUACGGAGGAUCCGAGCGUUAUCCGGAUUUAUUGGGGUUAAAGGGAGCGUAGGUGGAUUGUUAAGUCAGUUGUGAAAGUUUGCGGCUCAACCGUAAAAUUGCAGUUGAAACUGGCAGUCUUGAGUACAGUAGAGGUGGGCGGAAUUCGUGGUGUAGCGGUGAAAUGCUUAGAUAUCACGAAGAACUCCGAUUGCGAAGGCAGUUCACUGGACUGCAACUGACACUGAGGCUCGAAAGUGUGGGUAUCAAACAGGAUUAGAUACCCUGGUAGUC
Molecule: ribosomal RNA, 460 nt
Filed under: uncultured bacterium
Lineage: Bacteria
Description: partial 16S ribosomal RNA
Rfam family: Bacterial small subunit ribosomal RNA
Source: RNAcentral